CAGCCGUAAACAAUGUGCGUUAGGUGUGUCGGUAACCACGUGUUACUGAUGCGCCGAAGAGAAAUCGUGAAACGCACCACCUGGGAAGUACGGUCGCAAGGCUGAAACUUAAAGGAAUUGGCGGGGGAGCACCACAACAGGUGGAGCCUGCGGUUUAAUUGGAUUCAACGCCGGACAUCUCACCGGAUAAGACAGCUGAAUGAUUGUCAAUCUAAAGGUUUUACAUGACUAGCUGAGAGGAGGUGCAUGGCGUCAGUGACU
RNAcentral lists this ribosomal RNA (261 nucleotides) under uncultured archaeon. RNAcentral describes it as "partial 16S ribosomal RNA". It matches the Rfam family "Archaeal small subunit ribosomal RNA", at positions 748 to 1008 of the family's 1478-position model. The record is from RNAcentral.